RNAcentral lists this ribosomal RNA (254 nucleotides) under uncultured bacterium. Its description in RNAcentral is "partial 16S ribosomal RNA". It matches the Rfam family "Bacterial small subunit ribosomal RNA", at positions 524 to 776 of the family's 1533-position model. The record is from RNAcentral.
UACGGGGGGGGCAAGCGUUGUUCGGAAUUACUGGGCGUAAAGGGCGCGUAGGCGGCCACCGCAAGUCGACUGUGAAAUCUCCGGGCUUAACCCGGAAAGGUCAGCCGAUACUGCGGGGCUAGAGUGCAGAAGGGGCAACUGGAAUUCUCGGUGUAGCGGUGAAAUGCGUAGAUAUCUGGAGGAACACCGGUGGCGAAGGCGGCGUUCUGGACUGUUUCUGACACUGAAAAACGAAAGCCAGGGGAGCAAACGGG